GACGAACGCUGGCGGCGUGCUUAACACAUGCAAGUCGAACGCUGAAGCUCAGCUUUUGUUGGGUGGAUGAGUGGCGAACGGGUGAGUAACACGUGAGUAACCUGCCUCCUUCUUUGGGAUAACGCCCGGAAACGGGUGCUAAUACUGGAUAUUCACUGGCCUUCGCGUGGGGGUUGGUGGAAAGGGUUUUUUUGGUGGGGGAUGGGCCCGCGGCCUAUCAGCUUGUUGGUGGGGUGAUGGCCUACCAAGGCUUUGACGGUUAGCCGGCCUGAGGGGGUGACCGGUCACAUUGGGACUGAGAUACGGCCCAGACUCCGACGGGGGGCAGCAGUGUGGAAUAUUGCACAAUGGGCGCUAGCCUGAUGCAGCGACGCCGCGGGAGGGAUGGAGGCCUUCGGGUUGUGAACCUCUUUCGCUCAUGGUCAAGCCGCAACAAUGGUUGUGGUGAGGGUAGUGGGUAAAGAAGCGCCGGCUAACUACGUG
Molecule: ribosomal RNA, 483 nt
Filed under: uncultured bacterium
Lineage: Bacteria
Description: partial 16S ribosomal RNA
Rfam family: Bacterial small subunit ribosomal RNA
Source: RNAcentral